Molecule: ribosomal RNA, 254 nt
Filed under: uncultured bacterium
Lineage: Bacteria
Description: partial 16S ribosomal RNA
Rfam family: Bacterial small subunit ribosomal RNA
Source: RNAcentral
UACGUAGGGGGCUAGCGUUGUCCGGAUUUAUUGGGCGUAAAGAGCUCGUAGGCGGCUCAGUUAGUCGGGUGUGAAACCCCCGGGUUCAACCCGGGGACGCCACCCGAUACUGCUGUGGCUAGAGUCCGGUAGGGGAGCGUGGAAUUCCUGGUGUAGCGGUGAAAUGCGCAGAUAUCAGGAGGAACACCAGCGGCGAAGGCGGCGCUCUGGGCCGGAACUGACGCUGAGGAGCGAAAGCGUGGGGAGCGAACAGG